RNAcentral lists this ribosomal RNA (463 nucleotides) under Treponema denticola. Its description in RNAcentral is "bacterial SSU rRNA". It matches the Rfam family "Bacterial small subunit ribosomal RNA", at positions 9 to 466 of the family's 1533-position model. The record is from RNAcentral. Lineage: Bacteria; Pseudomonadati; Spirochaetota; Spirochaetia; Treponematales; Treponemataceae.
GAGUUUGAUCAUGGCUCAGAACGAACGCUGGCGGCGCGUCUUAAGCAUGCAAGUCGAACGGUAAGGGAGAGCUUGCUCUCCCCUAGAGUGGCGGACUGGUGAGUAACGCGUGGGUGACCUGCCCUGAAGAUGGGGAUAGCUAGUAGAAAUAUUAGAUAAUACCGAAUGUGCUCAUUUACAUAAAGGUAAAUGAGGAAAGGAGCUACGGCUCCGCUUCAGGAUGGGCCCGCGUCCCAUUAGCUGGUUGGUGAGGUAAAGGCCCACCAAGGCAACGAUGGGUAUCCGGCCUGAGAGGGUGAACGGACACAUUGGGACUGAGAUACGGCCCAAACUCCUACGGGAGGCAGCAGCUAAGAAUCUUCCGCAAUGGACGAAAGUCUGACGGAGCGACGCCGUGUGAAUGAAGAAGGCUGAAAGGUUGUAAAAUUCUUUUGCAGAUGAAGAAUAAACACAGGAGGGAAUG